AACGGCGAGUGAACCGGGAAAAGCUCAAAUUUGUAAUCUGGCUGUCUUCGAUAGUCCGAGUUGUAAUCUAUAGACGUGUUUUCCGUGCUGGACCGUAUCUAAGUCCCUUGGAACAGGGUAUCAAAGAGGGUGACAAUCCCGUGCUUGAUACGACCACCAGUGCUCUGUGAUACACGCUCUACGAGUCGAGUUGUUUGGGAAUGCAGCUCAAAAUGGGUGGUAAAUUCCAUCUAAAGCUAAAUAUUGGCGAGAGACCGAUAGCGAACAAGUACCGUGAGGGAAAGAUGAAAAGCACUUUGGAAAGAGAGUUAAACAGUACGUGAAAUUGUUGAAAGGGAAACGAUUGAAGUCAGUCGUGUUCUUUGGAUUCAGCUAGUUCUUCUAGUCUACUUCCUUUGAACGGGUCAACAUCAGUUUUGUCCGGUGGAUAAAGAUAGUAGGAAUGUAGCUCCCUCGGGAGUGUUAUAGACUAUUAUUGCAUGCACUGGGUGAGACUGAGGACUGCAGCUCGCCUUUUGGCCGGCCUUCGGGUACGUUCGAGCUUAGGAUGUUGACAUAAUGGCUUUAAACGACCCGUCUUGAAACACGG
RNAcentral lists this ribosomal RNA (589 nucleotides) under Cutaneotrichosporon moniliiforme. RNAcentral's name for it is "LSU rRNA". It matches the Rfam family "Eukaryotic large subunit ribosomal RNA", at positions 85 to 664 of the family's 3401-position model. Lineage: Eukaryota; Fungi; Basidiomycota; Tremellomycetes; Trichosporonales; Trichosporonaceae. The record is from RNAcentral.